GAUGAACGCUGGCGGCGUGCCUAAUACAUGCAAGUCGAGCGAACAGACGAUGAGCCUGCUCCUCUGACGUUAGCGGCGGACGGGUGAGUAACACGUGGAUAACCUACCUAUAAGACUGGGAUAACUUCGGGAAACCGGAGCUAAUACCGGAUAAUAUAUUGAACCGCAUGGUUCAAUAGUGAAAGACGGUUUUGCUGUCACUUAUAGAUGGAUCCGCGCCGCAUUAGCUAGUUGGUAAGGUAACGGCUUACCAAGGCAACGAUGCGUAGCCGACCUGAGAGGGUGAUCGGCCACACUGGAACUGAGACACGGUCCAGACUCCUACGGGAGGCAGCAGUAGGGAAUCUUCCGCAAUGGGCGAAAGCUUGACGGAGCAACGCCGCGUGAGUGAUGAAGGUCUUCGGAUCGUAAAACUCUGUUAUUAGGGAAGAACAAAUGUGUAAGUAACUAUGCACGUCUUGACGGUACCUAAUCAGAAAGCCACGGCUAACUACGUG
RNAcentral lists this ribosomal RNA (497 nucleotides) under uncultured bacterium. RNAcentral's name for it is "partial 16S ribosomal RNA". It matches the Rfam family "Bacterial small subunit ribosomal RNA", at positions 28 to 507 of the family's 1533-position model. The record is from RNAcentral.